This 72-nucleotide transfer RNA is filed under the name Rubrobacter marinus. It matches the Rfam family "tRNA". Rfam says of the family: Transfer RNA (tRNA) molecules are approximately 80 nucleotides in length. Their secondary structure includes four short double-helical elements and three loops (D, anti-codon, and T loops). Further hydrogen bonds mediate the characteristic L-shaped molecular structure. tRNAs have two regions of fundamental functional importance: the anti-codon, which is responsible for specific mRNA codon recognition, and the 3' end, to which the tRNAs corresponding amino acid is attached (by aminoacyl-tRNA synthetases). tRNAs cope with the degeneracy of the genetic code in two manners: having more than one tRNA (with a specific anti-codon) for a particular amino acid; and 'wobble' base-pairing, i.e. permitting non-standard base-pairing at the 3rd anti-codon position. Lineage: Bacteria; Bacillati; Actinomycetota; Rubrobacteria; Rubrobacterales; Rubrobacteraceae. The record is from Rfam by way of RNAcentral.
UGGGUGGUAGCUCAGUCGGUAGAGCAGCGGUCUCCAAAACCGCAGGUCGUGGGUUCGAGCCCUCUCACCCAG